UGCAUAUGUCUUUAAAUUACAGCAGGAAGUUCGGACAAGUAAUGAUUACGGAUUGAAUAAAAAUUACGCACUGAUUUUUGUUUUGAAUUAUAUUUGAUAUUGACAGCACCAUUCAGGAGCGUGGACGGCUGAUACAAAGUUUCGUGAUGUCGAAGAAACCGGGGCGACCAUUGCCCCGUACACCCAGAGAUUCUAACGAAAACGAUAAUGCUAAAAAGAUGGUAGUUAGAAAAUUACCAAGAGGUGUUUCCGUGGAUACUUUAGAACUUUAUUUUGAAAGCAAGAAGCACCAUGAGCGUGCAAUGAGAGUGAAACAUGUUGAUCUAGAUAUUGCCAACGACGAGGCUAUAAUUACAUUUGAUUCUGCUUCAGGUAA
Molecule: long non-coding RNA, 376 nt
Organism: Mercenaria mercenaria
Lineage: Eukaryota; Metazoa; Mollusca; Bivalvia; Venerida; Veneridae
Exons: 3
Source: RefSeq, a predicted model, not a curated record